AUUGAACGCUGGCGGCAUGCCUUACACAUGCAAGUCGAACGGCAGCACGGGAGCUUGCUCCUGGUGGCGAGUGGCGAACGGGUGAGUAAUGCAUCGGAACGUGCCCUGAAGUGGGGGAUAACGUAGCGAAAGUUACGCUAAUACCGCAUAUUCUGUGAGCAGGAAAGCAGGGGAUCUUCGGACCUUGCGCUUUUGGAGCGGCCGAUGUCGGAUUAGCUAGUUGGUGGGGUAAAGGCCCACCAAGGCGACGAUCCGUAGCGGGUCUGAGAGGAUGAUCCGCCGACACUGGAACUGAGACACGGUCCAGACUCCUACGGGAGGCAGCAGUGGGAAUUUUGGACAAUGGCGCAAGCCUGAUCCAGCCAUGCCGCGUGAGU
This 377-nucleotide ribosomal RNA is filed under the name uncultured bacterium. RNAcentral's name for it is "bacterial SSU rRNA". It matches the Rfam family "Bacterial small subunit ribosomal RNA", at positions 30 to 406 of the family's 1533-position model. The record is from RNAcentral.